AUCGCAUCAAAAAAAAUUAUAUUGUUUAAUUUUAUACUUCCGAUAAUUGACUACGGUAUUAUCAUUUGGGCUUCUGUCGCUCCUUAAAUAUAGUUAAUAGAACUUUUGAAAAAGCUAAAUCUAUGUUAUUUAAUCGAACCGUCGCUUGUUCCGAGUAUCACCACUCUACAAAUAUUACGUUAAAUGGACGUGUACUUUAUUUUGAUUUAAAAUAUCUCCAACUAUAUCUAAAUAACUUUGCUGGCCAUUUACAUAUAAUGUUGAAGGUUCCGUUGUCGAAAACUAGAUCUCUUUAUUUUCUCCAUGUCGGUAUUAAACGUUUAAAUAUUUCUAUA
RNAcentral lists this long non-coding RNA (335 nucleotides) under Androctonus crassicauda. The record is from RNAcentral. Lineage: Eukaryota; Metazoa; Arthropoda; Arachnida; Scorpiones; Buthidae.